This is an RNA transcript of Sebastes umbrosus (honeycomb rockfish), 3131 nucleotides long. It is a transcript of the gene named ATP-binding cassette, sub-family B (MDR/TAP), member 10, with no coding region annotated. NCBI's taxonomy places the organism in Eukaryota, Metazoa, Chordata, Actinopteri, Perciformes, Sebastidae. The transcript is spliced from 17 exons. The record is from RefSeq and is a predicted model, not a curated record.
UAGUUUAAUGACACAUUUUGAAUUAUAACCUUUAACAACUCUACAACACUAUAUGCCCUGGCUAAGUAUUGACGUUAUCUGGGUUCGCUUGGUUACGCCUGGGGAAAGUUUGCUAGUAUCGUCAGCCAUUGAUUCCAACCGUCGAAGAAGAAGAGGAAUCUAACAUCACAUGAGAAGCACAACCAGGGUCACCUCUCUGGUUUCUGCUCCUGUUACACUCUUUCCAGAGGAAUAAGGUGUAAUAAUCAGAGUGGAUUAGAUGUUUUAGUCGGUCUUCGGCAGCUUGUGUUUCCACUUCAACCAGAUAUCCAGCGACAGAUGACAGCAGAUGACAGUGACAGACAGGGUGUUGUUGCUAAGUGAUGUGUUGCUAAGUGAUAAGAGAUAAACUGGCUGAAUAACGGCUGUCAGGAGCAGAUACAAACGGACAAUAACGGUCUUAAACUCGACCAUGUAGCGGCAAGAAGUUGACCUGUAACCGCUGAGAGGACUAACAUGUUUUACUCAACAAGAAACAGCUCAACCACUGAGUCUGACUGACCACUGUAAGGAUAUUUACUUAACUAUCUAUCUACACUUCAACUUUGGGACGAUGCGGCUUUUAACCCGCAUGUCGAGGUGCUCCAGACUCAAACAGCCACAGAGGAUGUUGUUGUGGCUGGAGCACCGUGUGACUCUGUCAGCUGCCCUCCGGAGGAAGAGACAUCAGACAUCAGUCCUCCAUCAUCCGACACCUGGCUUCCCUCUCUCCUCCUCCUCAUCUUCACCUGGGUGCUUCAUGUCUGUGCUGUCCUGCAGUCCACCACUCAGAGGUCUCUCCAGGACACUCACACACACAACUGUUGCCUUUGCCAGCUCUUCUUCUUCUUCUUCAGCCGCCUCCACACCUACACCUGCAGCCGGGUCGGUGAAGACGGAGCAGACGGACACGGAGAGGGAGAGGGAGAGCGGACAGACACCCACCACGGUCCCCCUGGAGGACGUCAAGAGGAUCCUGCGACUGGCUCACCCGGAGAGAUGGAGCCUGGCAGCUGCUUUGGGCUUCCUAACUGUCUCCAGUGCAGUAACCAUGUCAGCUCCGUUCUUCCUGGGUAAAGUGAUUGACACCAUUUACACUACUGGAACAGACACAGAGACAAUGACGGCCUCCCUGACAUCAUUAUGCAUCAUGCUAUCGGGUGUGUUCCUGUGUGGCGGGGCAGCCAACGCUGCCAGAGUCUACCUCAUGCAGACCUCAGGCCAACAGAUUGUUCGUAAUCUGCGUGCCUCCGUCUUCUCCUCCAUCCUCAGACAGGAAGUGGCGUUUUUUGACAGGAAUAGGACCGGCGAGCUUAUCAACCGCCUCUCCGCUGACACGGCCGUGGUGGGCCGCUCCAUCACUGACAACCUGUCAGACGGGCUGAGAGCUGUCGCCCAGGCAGCUGCUGGUGUCAGUAUGAUGUUCUAUGUCUCUCCCAGUCUUGCGAGCUUUGUGUUGCUGAUCGUUCCUCCCAUGGCCGGUCUUGCUGUAGUCUAUGGCAGAUACCUUCGCUCCAUCUCCAAAUGCACACAGGACGCACUUGCACAAGCCACACAGUUGGCUGAAGAGCGAAUCAGCAACCUGCGGACUGUCAGGGCUUUUGGUAAGGAGCUGUCAGAGGUAAACACGUACACAGAGAAGACAGACGAAGUCCUCAGGCUGGCCAGGAGGGAGGCUGUACUACGAGCUGGCUUCUUUGGAGUGACUGGUCUCAGUGGUAACAUCAUGAUCCUGUCAGUGCUGUACAAAGGAGGCCUUAUGAUGGCCAGCCAGCACAUGACUGUAGGGGAGCUCUCAUCGUUCCUCAUGUACACCUUCUGGGUGGGCAUCAGUAUUGCAGGUAUGAGUUCCUUCUACUCUGAGCUGAUGAAGGGGUUUGGAGCAGGAGCCAGACUGUGGGAGCUGAUGGACAGAAAGCCGGAGUUUCCUCUAAAUGAAGGCCUCGUGCUUCCUCGAGACCAGCUGAAGGGUCAGUUGGAGUUCUCCGACGUCUCCUUUGCCUACCCGACCCGUACCGAGGCUCCUAUUUUCCAGAACCUCAGUUUGCUGGUCCCAGCUGGUACCAUCAUGGCUGUAGUGGGACCCAGCGGCUCUGGAAAAUCUACCUUGGUCUCGCUGCUGCUCAGGCUGUACGACUCCGAUGCUGGUGUCAUCACUAUAGAUGGUCAUGACAUCAGAGAUCUGAAUCCCUAUUGGCUCAGGAGUCACAUUGGAACGGUCAGCCAGGAGCCCGUGCUGUUCUCUUGCUCUAUAAGAGACAACAUAGCGUACGGUGCAGUGGACCCAGACGCUGUGUCCACAGAGGACAUCUACAGGGCAGCCAGAGUGGCCAACGCCUUUAAUUUCGUCCAGGCUUUUCCUAAGGGCUUUAACACUGUAGUGGGGGAGAAAGGAGUGCUGCUGUCAGGUGGUCAGAAGCAGAGGAUAGCUAUAGCCAGAGCUCUACUCAAGAAUCCUAAGAUCCUGCUGUUAGACGAGGCUACCAGUGCACUGGAUUCAGAGAAUGAGUUCCUGGUCCAGCAGGCUUUGGAGCGUCUAAUGGAAGGGAGGACAGUCGUGAUCAUCGCUCACCGUCUGUCGACCAUCCAGAAUGCGAACGCCGUCGCGGUGCUGGACCAGCGGCGUAUAGUCGAGUGUGGCCAGCACACAGAGCUGCUAGGCAACAGGCAGGGACUGUUCAGAAAACUGAUGGAGAAACAGGCGUUUCUACAAGAUGAACAGAAACGAGCUCUUCGCUGAGAGGACGAGGAACUACAGACGAGCGGAUGAGGAAGAGGGAGAAAUCAGGAGUGUGUCAGGCUGUCAGUAAGUGGCGCUGUUGCUUCAACAACUUGUGCUGCAGUCAGGCUCAGAAGUGUUCACUGCUCAGCUGCUGCAGGUCGUGUUGACAGGGUGGUGAGUUUCUCAUGCAAAUAGACACACUGCUGGCACAUAGAUGGGUCCUGGCAAAGAAGGUUAAGAGUCUAUCAAUUGGGUGAACCCCUCCAGCAGAGGCAGCAGUUGCUCCUGCUCUGCGGAGGACAGGCUCAGCUGGCUCAUGCAGCUCACCAGGUGCCGCUCAGCCCUGCAUGGGUUUCCAAUUCCAGCUCCAUGUGCUGCAGCAGCUCCCCUC